CAGUAUUAACAGCGUCUACUGAUGGAUGCUGAUAAAGAAGAAAAAGAGUAACAUCUACUGAAGAAUGUUGAUGAGAAGAUUCGCAUCUACUAAUGGAUGCGGGAAGAGUUUGAGAGAGCAUCUAGUGAUGGAUGCUGCUAUGAAAGAGGAUGGUGACUAGACAUCUAUUCCUAGGUUGCCCAAGCGUCGGGUUUUGCUGAUCCAGCCCAGUUUUUGCUCUGUUUUGACUCUUUUGGACCAGGCCCUAUUUUGGAGUGCCUCUAACACUAUUUAAAGGACCUUGGGACUCUAGGUUUUG
RNAcentral lists this long non-coding RNA (298 nucleotides) under Vigna radiata. Its description in RNAcentral is "long non-coding RNA (VRAD_LNC011128)". Lineage: Eukaryota; Viridiplantae; Streptophyta; Magnoliopsida; Fabales; Fabaceae. The record is from RNAcentral.